GGGCCCGCACAAGCGGUGGAGCAUGUGGUUUAAUUCGAUGAUACGCGAGGAACCUUACCAGGGCUUAAAUGUAGUGGGACAGGUCUAGAGAUAGACCCUUCUUCGGACUCAUUACAAGGUGCUGCAUGGUUGUCGUCAGCUCGUGCCGUGAGGUGUCAGGUUAAGUCCUAUAACGAGCGCAACCCCUAUCGUUAGUUGCCAGCGGGUCAUGCCGGGAACUCUAGCGAAACUGCCGGUGCAAACCGAGAGGAAGGUGGGGAUGACGUCAAAUCAUCACGGCCCUUACGGGUUGGGCUACACACGUGCUACAAUGGUAGUGACAAUGGGUUAAUCCCAAAAAGCUAUCU
Molecule: ribosomal RNA, 347 nt
Filed under: uncultured bacterium
Lineage: Bacteria
Description: bacterial SSU rRNA
Rfam family: Bacterial small subunit ribosomal RNA
Source: RNAcentral